GAUGAACGCUGGCGGCGUGCUUAACACAUGCAAGUCGAACGAUUAAACUGGCUUCGGCCAGAUAUAGAGUGGCGAACGGGUGAGUAACACGUGACCAACCUGCCCUGCGCUCCGGGACAACCGCUGGAAACGGCGGCUAAUACCGGAUGCUCCGGGGAGGCCCCAUGGCCUCCCCGGGAAAGCCUUAACGGCGCGGGAUGGGGUCGCGGCCCAUUAGGUAGACGGCGGGGUAACGGCCCACCGUGCCCGCGAUGGGUAGCCGGACUGAGAGGUCGACCGGCCACAUUGGGACUGAGAUACGGCCCAGACUCCUACGGGAGGCAGCAGUGGGGAAUUUUGCGCAAUGGGGGCAACCCUGACGCAGCAACGCCGCGUGCGGGACGAAGGCCUUCGGGUUGUAAACCGCUUUCAGCAGGGAAGACUU
This 424-nucleotide ribosomal RNA is filed under the name uncultured bacterium. RNAcentral describes it as "bacterial SSU rRNA". It matches the Rfam family "Bacterial small subunit ribosomal RNA", at positions 28 to 451 of the family's 1533-position model. The record is from RNAcentral.